RNAcentral lists this unclassified non-coding RNA (369 nucleotides) under fungal sp. Its description in RNAcentral is "partial internal transcribed spacer region". The stretch from base 1 to 46 matches the Rfam family "Eukaryotic small subunit ribosomal RNA", at positions 1786 to 1831 of the family's 1831-position model. Lineage: Eukaryota; Fungi. The record is from RNAcentral.
AAGUCGUAACAAGGUUUCCGUAGGUGAACCUGCGGAAGGAUCAUUAACAUGAAGUCGUAGCUCGAAAGGGCUACACUUUCAACCAAACCGCGAACUUGUUUUUUUCACGCUCCCUUACUAUGUGUGGAGAUUCUUUUGGUGGGGUAGACAGCUUCCGCUGGGCCAUUAGAAUCGUUUGACAUAUGUAGUAGGGCCAAGACUACUCUUUGUGUGUUUCUCUUUCGGGAGAGGCAUGCAUAACCUUUUACAUUUUAACCCCUUUAACCCCAUAAUUCUGUUUACAUCUGUCUUAUUUCCAUUCGUAGUCGAAAGACUCGAAUGCCAGAUAUUUAAUGCGAACAACUCUUAGCAAUGGAUAUCUUGGCUCUG